GCAGGCGGCAGCAGGCUCAUGAUGUAACCACCCCUCAGGAUCACCCCCGCUCGCCGCCAUUACAAGUAACAAUAACAGCAACAAGUGACAAGUGACAAGUGACAUGUCUUGUACCGCAACAUCCCUCCCACACUUGUGACUGGCUGUGGCCGCCAACAAACACUUUGUUGUCUUGACGGAUUUUUUCUUUGUUCAGUUCUCCCUCCACCCUGGUGAGAAAUUCUGUUCCUUCAGAGGAUCUGUUAUUUGUCAUCCUUCUAUUGUUCUCCAUGUAAGGACUUUUAUCACCUUUUGUCGAUGAUGUGACCAUAUUUGGCAAAUCGUUGACUUGAGUGUCAUUUCAAAAUUUAUCAAAAGUAGACAAUUCGGCAAAAUGUGUGCGGUUGAAACUACUUUUCAGGGAAGCGUUUACCUUCUACCUCGGCGUGAAAAUGUCUCUCACCUGUAAUCACCAGAGCAGGUGGUCCACUGGCUCCAAGCCAAUGCAUCGACAGACUUCAGAGACCGAGUGCCAAGGAGCCAGCUAAGGCGAUCAUCUCAUUUUCUCAGAAGUUUCUGUCUAAAGCCUGACUGGGUAGCAACAUCAGGUGUCCACAGAUGAUCAGACAGGAAACUAAACUUCAGGUGUCUCGAUCACAGAAAAACAAUCAAAGGCAACUGAUCAUACAAGAUCAUUGAGGACACAAAAGAAGGGGCCUGCUAACGGGACCUGCUCCUCUGAGAGUUCAAUACAGGGAACCGAGGGUCGAAGAUAUGUCUUUGAUAGACGGCAGGUCAGGUGAGGAAAGGAGGUUCUACCCUCUCCCCCCGUCUUUGUACCUCGUCUGAACAUUCAGGUAGCUACAUGCUGGGGGUUGUGUUCACAGGUGAGGCGUUGAGUCGACUCACACCAGG
Molecule: long non-coding RNA, 894 nt
Organism: Pomacea canaliculata
Lineage: Eukaryota; Metazoa; Mollusca; Gastropoda; Architaenioglossa; Ampullariidae
Exons: 3
Source: RefSeq, a predicted model, not a curated record